This 640-nucleotide ribosomal RNA is filed under the name actinobacterium TH-G30. RNAcentral describes it as "bacterial SSU rRNA". It matches the Rfam family "Bacterial small subunit ribosomal RNA", at positions 38 to 690 of the family's 1533-position model. Lineage: Bacteria; Bacillati; Actinomycetota; Actinomycetes. The record is from RNAcentral.
GGCGGCAUGCUUAACACAUGCAAGUCGAACGAUGAUCCGGUGCUUGCACCGGGGAUUAGUGGCGAACGGGUGAGUAACACGUGAGUAACCUGCCCUUAACUCUGGGAUAAGCCUGGGAAACUGGGUCUAAUACCGGAUAUGACUCCUCAUCGCAUGGUGGGGGGUGGAAAGCUUUUUGUGGUUUUGGAUGGACUCGCGGCCUAUCAGCUUGUUGGUGAGGUAAUGGCUCACCAAGGCGACGACGGGUAGCCGGCCUGAGAGGGUGACCGGCCACACUGGGACUGAGACACGGCCCAGACUCCUACGGGAGGCAGCAGUGGGGAAUAUUGCACAAUGGGCGAAAGCCUGAUGCAGCGACGCCGCGUGAGGGAUGACGGCCUUCGGGUUGUAAACCUCUUUCAGUAGGGAAGAAGCGAAAGUGACGGUACCUGCAGAAGAAGCGCCGGCUAACUACGUGCCAGCAGCCGCGGUAAUACGUAGGGCGCAAGCGUUAUCCGGAAUUAUUGGGCGUAAAGAGCUCGUAGGCGGUUUGUCGCGUCUGCCGUGAAAGUCCGGGGCUCAACUCCGGAUCUGCGGUGGGUACGGGCAGACUAGAGUGAUGUAGGGGAGACUGGAAUUCCUGGUGUAGCGGUGAAAUGCG